GGGCCCGCACAAGCGGUGGAGCAUGUGGUUUAAUUCGAUGCAACGCGAAGAACCUUACCAGGGCUUGACAUACUACAGAUUCUUUAGAGAUAGAGAAGUGCCUUCGGGAAUGUAGAUACAGGUGGUGCAUGGCUGUCGUCAGCUCGUGUCGUGAGAUGUUGGGUUAAGUCCCGCAACGAGCGCAACCCUUAUUUUUAGUUACCAAUUCGUUGGGUUCUCUAGAAAGACUGCCGGUGACAAACCGGAGGAAGGUGAGGAUGACGUCAAGUCAGCAUGCCCCUUAUGUCCUGGGCUACACACGUGCUACAAUGGUUAAGACAAAGAGUCGCGAGCUUGCAAAAGUCAGCUAAUCUCAUAAACCGUGGCUCAGUUCAGAUCGUAGGCUGCAACUCGCCUACGUGAAGGCGGAAUCGCUAGUAAUCG
RNAcentral lists this ribosomal RNA (423 nucleotides) under uncultured bacterium. RNAcentral's name for it is "bacterial SSU rRNA". It matches the Rfam family "Bacterial small subunit ribosomal RNA", at positions 917 to 1344 of the family's 1533-position model. The record is from RNAcentral.